AAAGUUUGAUCCUGGCUCAGGACGAACGCUGGCGGCACGCUUAACACAUGCAAGUCGAACGAGAGAAGAGGAGCUUGCUUUUCUGAUCUAGUGGCGGACGGGUGAGUAACACGUGAGCAAUCUGCCUUUCAGAGGGGGAUACCGAUUGGAAACGAUCGUUAAUACCGCAUAACAUAAUUGAACCGCAUGAUUUGAUUAUCAAAGAUUUAUCGCUGAAAGAUGAGCUCGCGUCUGAUUAGCUAGUUGGUAAGGUAACGGCUUACCAAGGCGACGAUCAGUAGCCGGACUGAGAGGUUGAUCGGCCACAUUGGGACUGAGACACGGCCCAGACUCCUACGGGAGGCAGCAGUGGGGAAUAUUGCACAAUGGAGGAAACUCUGAUGCAGCGAUGCCGCGUGAGGGAAGAAGGUUUUAGGAUUGUAAACCUCUGUCUUCAGGGACGAAAAAAGACGGUACCUGAGGAGGAAGCUCCGGCUAACUACGUGCCAGCAGCCGCGGUAAUACGUAGGGAGCGAGCGUUGUCCGGAAUUACUGGGUGUAAAGGGAGCGUAGGCGGGAUCGCAAGUCAGAUGUGAAAACUAUGGGCUUAACCCAUAAACUGCAUUUGAAACUGUGGUUCUUGAGUGAAGUAGAGGUAAGCGGAAUUCCUAGUGUAGCGGUGAAAUGCGUAGAUAUUAGGAGGAACAUCAGUGGCGAAGGCGGCUUACUGGGCUUUAACUGACGCUGAGGCUCGAAAGCGUGGGGAGCAAACAGGAUUAGAUACCCUGGUAGUCCACGCCGUAAACGAUGAUUACUAGGUGUGGGGGGACUGACCCCUUCCGUGCCGCAGCAAACGCAAUAAGUAAUCCACCUGGGGAGUACGACCGCAAGGUUGAAACUCAAAGGAAUUGACGGGGGCCCGCACAAGCAGUGGAGUAUGUGGAUUAAUUCGAAGCAACGCGAAGAACCUUACCAGGUCUUGACAUCGUAUGCAUAGCUCAGAGAUGAGUGAAAUCUCUUCGGAGACAUAUAGACAGGUGGUGCAUGGUUGUCGUCAGCUCGUGUCGUGAGAUGUUGGGUUAAGUCCCGCAACGAGCGCAACCCUUACUGUUAGUUGCUACGCAAGAGCACUCUAGCAGGACUGCCGUUGACAAAACGGAGGAAGGUGGGGAUGACGUCAAAUCAUCAUGCCCCUUAUGACCUGGGCCUCACACGUACUACAAUGGCUGUCAACAGAGGGAAGCAAAGCCGCGAGGUGGAGCGAACCCCUAAAAGCAGUCUUAGUUCGGAUUGUAGGCUGCAACCCGCCUACAUGAAGUCGGAAUUGCUAGUAAUCGCAGAUCAGCAUGCUGCGGUGAAUACGUUCCCGGGCCUUGUACACACCGCCCGUCACGCCAUGGGAGUCGGUAACACCCGAAGCCUGUAGUCUAACCGCAAGGAGGACGCAGUCGAAGGUGGGAUUGAUGACUGGGGUGAAGUCGAAACAAGGUA
Molecule: ribosomal RNA, 1470 nt
Filed under: metagenome
Description: bacterial SSU rRNA
Rfam family: Bacterial small subunit ribosomal RNA
Source: RNAcentral